Molecule: long non-coding RNA, 211 nt
Organism: Salvelinus namaycush (lake trout)
Lineage: Eukaryota; Metazoa; Chordata; Actinopteri; Salmoniformes; Salmonidae
Exons: 3
Source: RefSeq, a predicted model, not a curated record
CGGACGUGCUACCUGUCCCAGACCUGCUGUUUUCAACUCUCUAGUAGACAUACUCAGGUUAUUUUCAUUAGUGCAAGCUCAACAGCGAGGCUGAUGGAGAGAGGGCCUUCACAUAGGAGAUCACAUCCACUGAGGACAGCUCUCCUGACAUCUGUUUGUCAUUCUCCACCAGCAGGCUCUGAGAGAGAGUAUGGAACCAGCAGAAGGGGGG